GGGUUGUGAGGUUAAGCGACUAAGCGUACACGGUGGAUGCCCUGGCAGUCAGAGGCGAUGAAGGGCGUGCUAAUCUGCGAUAAGCGCCGGUAAGGUGAUAUGAACCGUUAUAACCGGCGAUUUCCGAAUGGGGAAACCCAGUGUGAUUCGUCACACUAUCAUUAACUGAAUCCAUAGGUUAAUGAGGCGAAC
This 192-nucleotide ribosomal RNA is filed under the name Salmonella enterica subsp. enterica serovar Derby. RNAcentral's name for it is "partial 23S ribosomal RNA". It matches the Rfam family "Bacterial large subunit ribosomal RNA", at positions 1 to 184 of the family's 2925-position model. The record is from RNAcentral. Lineage: Bacteria; Pseudomonadati; Pseudomonadota; Gammaproteobacteria; Enterobacterales; Enterobacteriaceae.